GCUGGGUGUGGUGGCACACACCUGUAGUCCUAGCUACUCGAGAGGCUGAAGCAGGAGGAUUGCUUGAGCCCAGGAAUUCUGGGCUGUACUGUGUUAUGCCAAUUGGGUGUUCACACUAAGUUCGACAUCAGUAUGGUGACCUCUUGAAAGGAGGCAACACCAGGUUAUCUAAGGAGGGGUAAACCGGCCCAGCUCAGAAACAAAGCAGAUCAAAACUCUCAUGCUGAUCAGCAGCAGGAUAGCAUCUGUGAAUAGGCACUGCACUCCAGCCUGGGCAAUAUAGUGAAACCUCAUCUCAA
This is a non-coding RNA of Nomascus leucogenys (northern white-cheeked gibbon), 299 nucleotides long. It matches the Rfam family "Metazoan signal recognition particle RNA". From Rfam's summary of the family: The signal recognition particle (SRP) is a universally conserved ribonucleoprotein. It is involved in the co-translational targeting of proteins to membranes. NCBI's taxonomy places the organism in Eukaryota, Metazoa, Chordata, Mammalia, Primates, Hylobatidae. The record is from Rfam.